This 460-nucleotide ribosomal RNA is filed under the name uncultured bacterium. RNAcentral's name for it is "partial 16S ribosomal RNA". It matches the Rfam family "Bacterial small subunit ribosomal RNA", at positions 338 to 795 of the family's 1533-position model. The record is from RNAcentral.
CCUACGGGAGGCAGCAGUGAGGAAUAUUGGUCAAUGGACGAGAGUCUGAACCAGCCAAGUAGCGUGAAGGAUGACUGCCCUAUGGGUUGUAAACUUCUUUUAUAUGGGAAUAAAACGUUCCACGUGUGGGAUUUUGUAUGUACCAUAUGAAUAAGGAUCGGCUAACUCCGUGCCAGCAGCCGCGGUAAUACGGAGGAUACGAGCGUUAUCCGGAUUUAUUGGGUGUAAAGGGAGCGUAGGUGGAUUGUUAAGUCAGUUGUGAAAGUUUGCGGCUCAACCGUAAAAUUGCAGUUGAAACUGGCAGUCUUGAGUGCAGUAGAGGUGGGCGGAAUUCGUGGCGUAGCGGUGAAAUGCUUAGAUAUCACGAAGAACUCCGAUUGCGAAGGCAGUUCACUGGACUGCAACUGACACUGAGGCUCGAAAGUGUGGGUAUCAAACAGGAUUAGAUACCCCUGUAGUC